UGAGUUCAGUAAUACUGCAAUGAAUAAUGUCAGUAUGUCACACACAAAAUGAAAACUGACGUUGAUUCGUACUCAAGACUUAAUCUUAUACGUUACGUUUGGUUGCUGAUGUGAGACUGAUCGCGGAGCAAAAGCGAGCGCCGGAAUAUUAACGGGAAAUCCAAGUCGUGGCCGGUCGCGAUUGGUGCUCGAGGAUACGUGGUAGUCGAAUGCUCAGCGGCGAACUGCCAGUGUUUCCUACAGUUGGCUACCGACUAUUGGCCCACGUCACGAUGCCACUCUACUCCACGUUUGUUCUCGAAGCUUCGGGUAUGAACGUGAUUGGAGGAGAUGUGAAACAGACACGUAUCUCGCGAAAUCUUUUGCGGGCGGUUUAGGUGCCACGGAUCUACAGCGCAAUAAGCAAAAGUAAAAAAAAUAAUGGAUAAAUAUUACAUACUGCUGCUCUAGCUGCUAAUCCACUACUACCGGAAGCAUAUGAUAGGACAGACACUUUAUUUGAUAAGUCAGCUUCAGCUAAACCAAAUUUAAUAGCUUUUAUCCUUCCAUCCAUCAUGUCAGAUGGUGCUACAAUAUGAGCUCCUGGAAAAAUACAAAAAUGAUGUUUAUUUACCAAUAUCUGCAAUGCGUUUGAUACUAGCCUGAUUGUCAAUAGUGCCAUCACUAUUUAGUAUUCCACAAUGUCCAUGAUUAGUGUAAGGACACAAACAGACAUCACAGGCAAUAACUAAAUUAGG
This is a long non-coding RNA of Phymastichus coffea, 737 nucleotides long. RefSeq lists it as uncharacterized. The record is from RefSeq and is a predicted model, not a curated record. The transcript has 4 exons. Lineage: Eukaryota; Metazoa; Arthropoda; Insecta; Hymenoptera; Eulophidae.